Molecule: long non-coding RNA, 487 nt
Filed under: Musa acuminata (dwarf banana)
Lineage: Eukaryota; Viridiplantae; Streptophyta; Magnoliopsida; Zingiberales; Musaceae
Description: long non-coding RNA (MACU_LNC005073)
Source: RNAcentral
GCCAACACCAUUUCCGAAUGAGAAUUCCAGGUGUUUUGUAGAUCUGGCAGAUUUUCUAGUUGUCACGUGAGUACCCAACUUGACUUACUAAUCCUACUUAUAUCUAUUUCGAAUUCGAACACCAUUUCUACACCAAACCCUUUCUCCACUCCAGGGCGUAGGAUAUAUAUACAAUUGGAAUCCGAGCAUACUGGAUUUGGUCCUACCCAGAAGCAGCAGAUUCCACCCAAAAUCCAAUGUAUUAAGCCGUUUUUUUGGCUUAGAUUCCAGAAUCAUUCCUCCUCCGCGGGCUUUGGAACUAUCUGUGUUCUGCUUAGUGAGGGCCCACUUUGAUACUUCUAUCUUCAUCUUCCUGGGUAGAACCCUGAGUGCAGUAUACAAACUUUCCAACUACGGCUUUUUUGAAUCAUGAUAGGGUUGGUUGGUCUUCCAAUCACGUACAGUAUAACAAUCAGUUCUUUGAAUAUUAGUAUUCAAGCAAAGUCAC